RNAcentral lists this ribosomal RNA (497 nucleotides) under uncultured bacterium. RNAcentral's name for it is "partial 16S ribosomal RNA". It matches the Rfam family "Bacterial small subunit ribosomal RNA", at positions 28 to 507 of the family's 1533-position model. The record is from RNAcentral.
GAUGAACGCUGGCGGCGUGCCUAAUACAUGCAAGUCGAGCGAACGGACGAGAAGCUUGCUUCUCUGAUGUUAGCGGCGGACGGGUGAGUAACACGUGGAUAACCUACCUAUAAGACUGGGAUAACUUCGGGAAACCGUAGCUAAUACCGGAUAAUAUUUUGAACCGCAUGGUUCAAAAGUGAAAGACGGUCUUGCUGUCACUUAUAGAUGGAUCCGCGCUGCAUUAGCUAGUUGGUAAGGUAACGGCUUACCAAGGCAACGAUGCGUAGCCGACCUGAGAGAGUGAUCGGCCACACUGGAACUGAGACACGGUCCAGACUCCUACGGGAGGCAGCAGUAGGGAAUCGUCCGCAAUGGGCGAAAGCCUGACGGAGCAACGCCGCGUGAGUGAUGAAGGUCUUCGGAUCGUAAAACUCUGUUAUUAGGGAAGAACAUAUGUGUAAGUAACUGUGCACAUCUUGACGGUACCUAAUCAGAAAGCCACGGCUAACUACGUG